This 253-nucleotide ribosomal RNA is filed under the name uncultured bacterium. Its description in RNAcentral is "partial 16S ribosomal RNA". It matches the Rfam family "Bacterial small subunit ribosomal RNA", at positions 524 to 776 of the family's 1533-position model. The record is from RNAcentral.
UACGAAGGGGGCUAGCGUUGUUCGGAAUUACUGGGCGUAAAGCGUGCGCAGGCGGCUUCUCAAGUCAGGGGUGAAAGCCCAGAGCUCAACUCUGGAAUUGCCUUUGAGACUGAGUGGCUUGAGUACGGUAGAGGUGAGUGGAAUUCCCAGUGUAGAGGUGAAAUUCGUAGAUAUUGGGAAGAACACCGGUGGCGAAGGCGGCUCACUGGCUCAUUACUGACGCUCAGGCGCGACAGCGUGGGGAUCAAACAGG